Long non-coding RNA from Panonychus citri (citrus red mite), 2448 nucleotides. RefSeq lists it as uncharacterized. The transcript is spliced from 5 exons. Lineage: Eukaryota; Metazoa; Arthropoda; Arachnida; Trombidiformes; Tetranychidae. The record is from RefSeq and is a predicted model, not a curated record.
UCUUUUCUGAAAAACCAAAGAUUCUGUUGAUUAAUUCACUUGUUGAUUUAAUCAACUUGAUUUAAUUGUGGUAAAUUUGAUGAUGGUCAAGAUUAACUGUUCUGGACUUCGAUUGAUUUUGGUGGAUAAUCCAAUUAACAAUAAGAAGAAAAUGAAAACUGUGAAUUGAUACAAUCCCUUUUUCCUGUUGUUCUGAUGUUUAUAUGAAUUGAGUUUCUGUUUGUGUUGAUUAUUUUUUUAUCAUUUACCUUAAAAUAACUAAUUUAAUGGUGAUAAAAGUGGAACCUUAAUUACUUUAUUAAUUUAUCAUCCAUCUAUUCAUCUUUAUUGUUGUUAAUUAUUAUUGCUAUUAAGGUGAUGUAUAAAUGUAAAAAGGAUGAGCUUCUAAUGUAGGAAACAAGGAACAACAUCAACAACAAAAAGAUGGGUCAUCAUCAUCAUCAUCUUCCAUCAUCAGUUAAUAUGUAACUGAUCAAAAUUUUGGAAAGUUGAUUAAAUCAUAUGAUGAUGGUGGAAAAGCAAAUUAGGAUUAUCAAAAGAUGGAGAGAGGAAAAAAAUUCAGGUUGAUUAACCAUGAUUUCCAAGGAGUAUCAACAUUUUAAAAUGGAAACCAAUCUGACAGGAGAGACUUUUCAAAUUGGAAUCAUCUUUUUCAGUUCUAUCAGUAUUUUCAUCAACCACUCCUACACCUUCAUCAUCAUCAACAUCAUCAACAUCGUGAUUGUUAAUCAUCUUAAUAUCCACUUUGAUUGAAUAGAUUUUUAUAUUUAUUUCAAACAAUUAUCUUUAAAUGAAGCAUUUUUUCGUUCAUAAUCCAGGUAUAAGACUGAACUUAAUUACAAUCUAAAGGCCACUGAUUACAUUGAAUCUUAAUAAUUUGCAUAAAGUCAACAAUCAAGAAAAGAUGGAAUCAACAACAACAAGGAAAAAAACUGGACAAUUGACCAUAUAAAGAAAAAAAUGGAAAAGUGUUAAUCGUGGUGAUUAGUUGGUUUGCUAAUUGUAGUUACAAUUGUCACUUAAACUAAGCAUAUGCCCUAAAUUAUUAAUUCUAAUUACUAUUCAACUGUAGUAAACUUAUACUACAAAAUGAGAUGUUUUUUCCUGUCAUCCGAUAAUCAUAAUUAUCGCAAUUGAAGUAAAAACGAGAUGAUCAAUCGGUUGGUUUAACUGUAAUAACAACAAUCAUGUUUCCGUUUCUUGUUCAAUUCACUUUCAAUAUGGUGGAAAACUUUUGACUCGCUGAUUAUGAAAUGAUGAUGGAAACAAUUAGUUAAUUAUUUUCAAGUUCAUCUUCAACAAUCAAAAUCAUCAUUAACAAACUGUCUCCAAGAAAACUUUUACAAUUAUUAUGACAACAUGGUGAAAGAAUCAAAGUUAGAAAUGAACAAUCAAUGGUGAACAAUUAACUCACUAAAUGGUUGAGUGAAUAAGGAGACAAGCAAAGAGACGGAUUUUGUUCAUAGUUAAAGAAAUUUCAAUUUAAACGUUGAACAAUUUAACGAUAAUCAAGAAAAUCAUUAUCAUCAACACCAUCUCAAACAAUAAUAACAAAGUGCAAUGAAUUAUCAUGAAUACAAACACUCAAAUUCAUAUGAAUGAAUUUCAAUCAUGAAUAUUUCAUUUCUAAUCAAAGGUUAACACAUGAGUGAAAUUCAUUUGUAAACCUUUUUUUUUCUUGCUCGGGGGAGGAUAAAUGAUGGAUUUAUCCUUUAAACCGUUAAUCUUGUUGACUUUUUCUCCUCUUAAUUGUCAACUGAGAUUCUAAGAUAAUCAAUCAAAAAAUUGAUCUCCAGUUAAUAUCAUUGAUGGAAAAGGUUAAUCACCUUUCAAUGAAAAUCUCAUCUUUCUAAAUCUUAAUUAAUACUAAAGAAUCAAUGAGAUGAUGCUGAUCAAUCUUGUCUAUCAACUAUUGGUAAUAAUGGUCAAGUUCACUGAUUGACCCUCAGAGGAUGAAGAUUGUGAAAAAUCAAGUUCUCACUCUGAAAGAAAAGAGGUAAGUCAAAAGAUUAUCAAUUCCAUAUAAUUGAAUCUAAUAGAUUGGAUUCGAAGCCUUAUUUACAAUGUAAUUGGUUAAUAAAUGAUUCCAAGGAGUGUCCCGUUAAUUACCCUGAAGGAGGCGAAAUCUAUUAUUCACAAUCUCUCAACAUUUAAUAUUGGAUAACGUUGUUUGGGUUAUAUUUUUCAUCUACACAAAGUUACGGAAAAAAAAUCCAGGUCAAAAGACGGAGGCUAAGCAUGAUGAUGGAAAUGAUGAUGAUGAUGAUGACCAAGUGAGCUUGACCAACUGUAUCAAUCAACUUAAUGACAGUAACAUCUUUUGACCCUCCAAAGGAGAGUGAGGCCAGAAACGGAUAAUCAAGAAGCCGAAAAAUACAAAACAAGACAAUGAUUCUGUUUAUAUAUUAAUAUUUACACUAAUCACCGUUUGGAUGAUGUUGGAAUUGA